GACGAACGCUGGCGGCGUGCUUAACACAUGCAAGUCGAACGGAAAGGCCCUGCUUUUGUGGGGUGCUCGAGUGGCGAACGGGUGAGUAACACGUGAGUAACCUGCCCUUGACUUUGGGAUAACUUCAGGAAACUGGGGCUAAUACCGGAUAGGAGCUCCUGCUGCAUGGUGGGGGUUGGAAAGUUUCGGCGGUUGGGGAUGGACUCGCGGCUUAUCAGCUUGUUGGUGGGGUAGUGGCUUACCAAGGCUUUGACGGGUAGCCGGCCUGAGAGGGUGACCGGCGACAACAGUGCUGCGGAGCGGCGGCGAAGCCUACGGGGGGCAGCAGUGGUGAAGAUUGUAGCAUAGUGGGAAGAAGGAUGCAGCAGCGCCGCGGGCGGGAGGAUGGCCGUCUGGGUGUAGUACGCUGCCUCCGGCUAUGACGAGUCGUUGGCGGUAGUGGGUAAAAAAGCACCAGCUAAUUACGUG
Molecule: ribosomal RNA, 468 nt
Filed under: uncultured bacterium
Lineage: Bacteria
Description: partial 16S ribosomal RNA
Rfam family: Bacterial small subunit ribosomal RNA
Source: RNAcentral